RNAcentral lists this ribosomal RNA (253 nucleotides) under uncultured bacterium. Its description in RNAcentral is "partial 16S ribosomal RNA". It matches the Rfam family "Bacterial small subunit ribosomal RNA", at positions 524 to 776 of the family's 1533-position model. The record is from RNAcentral.
UACGAAGGGUGCAAACGUUGCUCGGAAUUAUUGGGCGUAAAGGGCUCGUAGGCGGUUUGUCGCGUCGGGAGUGAAAACCUUGGGCUUAACUCAGGGCUUGCUUUCGAUACGGGCAGACUAGAGGUAUGCAGGGGAGAACGGAAUUCCUGGUGUAGCGGUGAAAUGCGCAGAUAUCAGGAGGAACACCGGUGGCGAAGGCGGUUCUCUGGGCAUGAUCUGACGCUGAGGAGCGAAAGUGUGGGGAGCGAACAGG